AGAGCCCCAGAGGCAGAGCUGCCCAAGGCUUUGGGAGCCCACCCCUUGCAUCACUGUGCCCUGGAUGUGAGACGUGGAAUCAAGGAGAUUAUUUUGGAGCUUUAAGAUGUAAUGGCACCCUGCUGGGUUUCAGACUUGAGUGGAGCCUGCAGCCUCUUUCUUUCAGCCGAUUUCUCCCUUUUGGGACGGAAGUAUUUACCCAAUGCCUGUACCCCCAUGACGUGCCCGUGUCCCCUUCCUCCACCACAAGAUUGUAAGUUUUCUGGAGCCUCCCCAGAAGCUGAGAAGAAGCUGCUAUGCUUCCUGUUCAGCUUGCAGAACCGCCACUUCCAGCAUCGAUGGUGUCAGGUCAGGUCCUCUGGGUAGAAGAAAUGGAGUCAGUUAGGAGUGCUGGAGACUGAGUAAGAGGUGGCAGCUGAGGCUUACUACCCCAGGAAAGGGAUGCCACCAGAGAAGGCAGACAACCAAGAUGGCGACUCUCAAUUUUUGAGC
RNAcentral lists this long non-coding RNA (492 nucleotides) under Pan troglodytes (chimpanzee). RNAcentral's name for it is "lincRNA". Lineage: Eukaryota; Metazoa; Chordata; Mammalia; Primates; Hominidae. The record is from RNAcentral.